Long non-coding RNA from Phyllostomus discolor (pale spear-nosed bat), 198 nucleotides. RefSeq lists it as uncharacterized. The record is from RefSeq and is a predicted model, not a curated record. The transcript is spliced from 3 exons. NCBI's taxonomy places the organism in Eukaryota, Metazoa, Chordata, Mammalia, Chiroptera, Phyllostomidae.
UAAUUACAUACAGUAAUUAACUGUUUUACAAUUAUAGUUAUAAUCAUUAUAAUAAAUACAAAUUAAGAACACCAAAUGAAGAGGUACAUAGGUCAAACUAGGAGGGAAUGCAGAGUGUCCAAGGCCUUUUCUCAAGGAAUGAACUCCUUAUAGAGUGAUAAAUUUGAGAUUAUUUGACAGCCAAAUGGAGAGGUCAAA